UGUGAGAAUGACGAGUUGCACUUACAAAGUGGGGUGUCUGUUAGAGUGGUAACAGCUCCCCAAACUGACCCAUCCUGAGGACACACUGUGCACAGGGGCCAUCUGACUCAUG
This is a small nucleolar RNA of Thalassophryne amazonica, 112 nucleotides long. RefSeq annotates it as small nucleolar RNA SNORD67. The record is from RefSeq and is a predicted model, not a curated record. The transcript has a single exon. NCBI's taxonomy places the organism in Eukaryota, Metazoa, Chordata, Actinopteri, Batrachoidiformes, Batrachoididae.